CCUGCACCGUUUGAGAGUUUGUUCUUAUUGUCAAUACCUAUCUACACGUUCAAAAUUUUUGAAAUCAGACCAGUCAUUAAGACCGAAAAAUAAUAAAUAUUUUGUAAUUCAAUCGAGAUGGCACACCACAUGCAGCAAAUAAGCUGUGUUCACUAAUAAGCCAAUAAGCCGCUAGGGGCGAUAUAAGCUAGUUUGCGCUGCAGGCCAAGUGGCGCGUUAAUGGAAGAAGAAGGGGGCCCUAUAAGCUAGGUGUGUUAGUAAAAAAAGCACAGUUGCUUUAAGCAUAUCUCCAUCCCUCUCGCACUCACUGCGGCUGAGUAACCGGUAUCUAAUAGUCGAGGCCAUCGACUAUAGCGUUUUAUCUUGCUUUGACUAAAAAGGUGGAGCAACAAAUAUAAAACCUAUUUAGUUUAUACGCCCAGAAAUAUUGAGAACGGAAAAAACCGAGAUUGGUUCUUCUCGGUUUUAGUAUUGUUUCUUCUCACAUUUUUCUUCUCGGGUUCAUGGCGGAAGCGAUGUCGAUUUUACUAUUCCGAACUAAAAUCAAUUCCGGUUCUGUGGUUGUUGACGAGGGUCGUGAGGUGAAGACGUAGAAAAAAUAAGAGUGAGAGGAGAGAGACCAAACUCCUCUCUUGAAAUUACCUGAAAGUUAUCGAAAUAAGCGGCAUCUAAAUCGAUGCAAAUUCACUUCUUUGUAUAUGGUGGAACUGUGCGGCUUAAUGAGUGAGAACGACAAAAAACUGGAGGACUUGCUCCGGAAAUUCAACCCAAUAAAAACCCUUCCAUAUUAACAGCUAGCCUGAUGCCUGGCAAUAAGUGAAAUCGUGCGAAUAAUGAACGUAUAACGGGAAAAACGAAACAACGAAAAUGCCGCCUAAGAAGGAUUACGUCAGAAAGAAAGAGCUACAACAUAAGUGCAGAGAAGCGGGACUUUCAACGUCGGGGAAUCCUCCGAUGCCUCACGCACAUCUGGAACAAGCGACGUGCUCUACAGGCCCCGGAACGUAAUCCAAAAAAAACCCAGCAGGAAAGUUGAACUGGAAGUACAGCAAUCUACGAUCGAAGUUUCUGAAGCGCUCGUGUAUAAUUAAAUCAACCAAAAUGUACAAUUUUUUUAACGGGGAUCACAUUUAAUUAAAAUUAAAGAUGUAUUUCAAUGAAAAUUGAUAUCUGUUCGCUUAAGAUAUGCGAAUUGUUUGCUGCAAAUAAAAGUAUGCUGAGUUUUAAGUCUAGCUUUAAUCAUUUUAAUUAUAAAAACAAUCCAAAUUAUAUAUUCAAUUUACUGGAACUAAAUAU
Drosophila suzukii is the source of this 1296-nucleotide non-coding RNA. NCBI's taxonomy places the organism in Eukaryota, Metazoa, Arthropoda, Insecta, Diptera, Drosophilidae. The record is from RefSeq and is a predicted model, not a curated record.